GUGGCGAACGGGUGAGUAACACGUGGGUAAUCUGCCCUGUACUCUGGGAUAAGCCUGGGAAACUGGGUCUAAUACCGGAUACGACUGCCGGACGCAUGUCUGGUGGUGGAAAGUUUUUUCGGUUGGGGAUGGGCUCGCGGCCUAUCAGUUUGUUGGUGAGGUAAUGGCUCACCAAGACGACGACGGGUAGCCGGCCUGAGAGGGCGACCGGCCACACUGGGACUGAGACACGGCCCAGACUCCUACGGGAGGCAGCAGUGGGGAAUAUUGCACAAUGGGCGCAAGCCUGAUGCAGCGACGCCGCGUGAGGGAUGACGGCCUUCGGGUUGUAAACCUCUUUCGCCAGGGACGAAGCGCGAGUGACGGUACCUGGAUAAGAAGCACCGGCUAACUACGUGCCAGCAGCCGCGGUAAUACGUAGGGUGCGAGCGUUGUCCGGAAUUAUUGGGCGUAAAGAGCUCGUAGGCGGUUUGUCGCGUCGGCUGUGAAAUCU
RNAcentral lists this ribosomal RNA (493 nucleotides) under uncultured Actinomycetales bacterium. Its description in RNAcentral is "bacterial SSU rRNA". It matches the Rfam family "Bacterial small subunit ribosomal RNA", at positions 95 to 602 of the family's 1533-position model. Lineage: Bacteria; Bacillati; Actinomycetota; Actinomycetes; Actinomycetales. The record is from RNAcentral.